GGUUAAGCGACUAAGCGUACACGGUGGAUGCCCUGGCAGUCAGAGGCGAUGAAGGACGUGCUAAUCUGCGAAAAGCGUCGGUAAGGUGAUAUGAACCGUUAUAACCGGCGAUGUCCGAAUGGGGAAACCCAGUGUGUUUCGACACACUAUCAUUAACUGAAUCCAUAGGUUAAUGAGGCGAACCGGGGGAACUGAAACAUCUAAGUACCCCGAGGAAAAGAAAUCAACCGAGAUUCCCCCAGUAGCGGCGAGCGAACGGGGAGGAGCCCAGAGCCUGAAUCAGUGUGUGUGUUAGUGGAAGCGUCUGGAAAGGCGUGCGAUACAGGGUGACAGCCCCGUACACAAAAAUGCACAUGCUGUGAGCUCGAUGAGUAGGGCGGGACACGUGGUAUCCUGUCUGAAUAUGGGGGGACCAUCCUCCAAGGCUAAAUACUCCUGACUGACCGAUAGUGAACCAGUACCGUGAGGGAAAGGCGAAAAGAACCCCGGCGAGGGGAGUGAAAAAGAACCUGAAACCGUGUACGUACAAGCAGUGGGAGCCCUGAUUUAUCAGGGUGACUGCGUACCUUUUGUAUAAUGGGUCAGCGACUUAUAUUCUGUAGCAAGGUUAACCGAAUAGGGGAGCCGGAGGGAAACCGAGUCUUAACUGGGCGUUAAGUUGCAGGGUAUAGACCCGAAACCCGGUGAUCUAGCCAUGGGCAGGUUGAAGGUUGGGUAACACUAACUGGAGGACCGAACCGACUAAUGUUGAAAAAUUAGCGGAUGACUUGUGGCUGGGGGUGAAAGGCCAAUCAAACCGGGAGAUAGCUGGUUCUCCCCGAAAGCUAUUUAGGUAGCGCCUCGUGAAUUCAUCUCCGGGGGUAGAGCACUGUUUCGGCAAGGGGGUCAUCCCGACUUACCAACCCGAUGCAAACUGCGAAUACCGGAGAAUGUUAUCACGGGAGACACACGGCGGGUGCUAACGUCCGUCGUGAAGAGGGAAACAACCCAGACCGCCAGCUAAGGUCCCAAAGUCAUGGUUAAGUGGGAAACGAUGUGGGAAGGCCCAGACAGCCAGGAUGUUGGCUUAGAAGCAGCCAUCAUUUAAAGAAAGCGUAAUAGCUCACUGGUCGAGUCGGCCUGCGCGGAAGAUGUAACGGGGCUAAACCAUGCACCGAAGCUGCGGCAGCGACGCUGAUGCGUUGUUGGGUAGGGGAGCGUUCUGUAAGCCUGUGAAGGUGUGCUGUGAGGCAUGCUGGAGGUAUCAGAAGUGCGAAUGCUGACAUAAGUAACGAUAAAGCGGGUGAAAAGCCCGCUCGCCGGAAGACCAAGGGUUCCUGUCCAACGUUAAUCGGGGCAGGGUGAGUCGACCCCUAAGGCGAGGCCGAAAGGCGUAGUCGAUGGGAAACAGGUUAAUAUUCCUGUACUUGGUGUUACUGCGAAGGGGGGACGGAGAAGGCUAUGUUGGCCGGGCGACGGUUGUCCCGGUUUAAGCGUGUAGGCUGGUUUUCCAGGCAAAUCCGGAGAAUCAAGGCUGAGGCGUGAUGACGAGGCACUACGGUGCUGAAGCAACAAAUGCCCUGCUUCCAGGAAAAGCCUCUAAGCAUCAGGUAACAUCAAAUCGUACCCCAAACCGACACAGGUGGUCAGGUAGAGAAUACCAAGGCGCUUGAGAGAACUCGGGUGAAGGAACUAGGCAAAAUGGUGCCGUAACUUCGGGAGAAGGCACGCUGAUAUGUAGGUGAAGCGACUUGCUCGUGGAGCUGAAAUCAGUCGAAGAUACCAGCUGGCUGCAACUGUUUAUUAAAAACACAGCACUGUGCAAACACGAAAGUGGACGUAUACGGUGUGACGCCUGCCCGGUGCCGGAAGGUUAAUUGAUGGGGUCAGCGCAAGCGAAGCUCUUGAUCGAAGCCCCGGUAAACGGCGGCCGUAACUAUAACGGUCCUAAGGUAGCGAAAUUCCUUGUCGGGUAAGUUCCGACCUGCACGAAUGGCGUAAUGAUGGCCAGGCUGUCUCCACCCGAGACUCAGUGAAAUUGAACUCGCUGUGAAGAUGCAGUGUACCCGCGGCAAGACGGAAAGACCCCGUGAACCUUUACUAUAGCUUGACACUGAACACUGGUCCUUGAUGUGUAGGAUAGGUGGGAGGCUUUGAAGUGUGGACGCCAGUCUGCAUGGAGCCGUCCUUGAAAUACCACCCUUUAAUGGCUGGUGUUCUAACGUGGGCCCGUAAUCCGGGUUGCGGACAGUGUCUGGUGGGUAGUUUGACUGGGGCGGUCUCCUCCUAAAGAGUAACGGAGGAGCACGAAGGUUGGCUAAUCCUGGUCGGACAUCAGGAGGUUAGUGCAAUGGCAUAAGCCAGCUUGACUGCGAGCGUGACGGCGCGAGCAGGUGCGAAAGCAGGUCAUAGUGAUCCGGUGGUUCUGAAUGGAAGGGCCAUCGCUCAACGGAUAAAAGGUACUCCGGGGAUAACAGGCUGAUACCGCCCAAGAGUUCAUAUCGACGGCGGUGUUUGGCACCUCGAUGUCGGCUCAUCACAUCCUGGGGCUGAAGUAGGUCCCAAGGGUAUGGCUGUUCGCCAUUUAAAGUGGUACGCGAGCUGGGUUUAGAACGUCGUGAGACAGUUCGGUCCCUAUCUGCCGUGGGCGCUGGAGAACUGAGGGGGGCUGCUCCUAGUACGAGAGGACCGGAGUGGACGCAUCACUGGUGUUCGGGUUGUCAUGCCAAUGGCACUGCCCGGUAGCUAAAUGCGGAAGAGAUAAGUGCUGAAAGCAUCUAAGCACGAAACUUGCCCCGAGAUGAGUUCUCCCUGAGACUUAGAGUCUCCUGAAGGAACGUUGAAGACGACGACGUUGAUAGGCCGGGUGUGUAAGCGCAGCGAUGCGUUGAGCUAACCGGUACUAAUGAACCGUGAGGCUUAACCUU
Molecule: ribosomal RNA, 2906 nt
Filed under: Escherichia albertii
Lineage: Bacteria; Pseudomonadati; Pseudomonadota; Gammaproteobacteria; Enterobacterales; Enterobacteriaceae
Description: 23S ribosomal RNA
Rfam family: Bacterial large subunit ribosomal RNA
Source: RNAcentral